Molecule: ribosomal RNA, 420 nt
Filed under: uncultured bacterium
Lineage: Bacteria
Description: bacterial SSU rRNA
Rfam family: Bacterial small subunit ribosomal RNA
Source: RNAcentral
GAGGAAUAUUGGGCAAUGGGCGCAAGCCUGACCCAGCCAUGCCGCGUGAAGGAUGAAUGCCCUAUGGGUUGUAAACUUCUUUUGUACGGGACGAAACUCCCGGUCGUGACCGGGAUUGACUGUACCGUGCGAAUAAGCAUCGGCUAACUCCGUGCCAGCAGCCGCGGUAAUACGGAGGAUGCAAGCGUUAUCCGGAUUCAUUGGGUUUAAAGGGUGCGUAGGCGGAACAAUAAGUCAGUGGUGAAAGCCUGCGGCUUAACCGUAGAAUUGCCAUUGAUACUGUUGUUCUUGAGUAUAGUUGAGGUGGGCGGAAUGUGUAAUGUAGCGGUGAAAUGCUUAGAUAUUACACAGAACACCAAUUGCGAAGGCAGCUCACUAAGCUGUUACUGACGCUGAGGCACGAAAGCGUGGGGAGCAAAC